AUCUAAUUUGAUAACAGAAGAAUCUUUUAGUAACAUUUUCAGGAUUGCAUAAAACUGCCAAUGCACAACCAAGCUGUAGGCUGAUGGAAAACAACAUCAGCCAAGAGAUUCACCUAGAAGCCAGCUAACGGAGCUGGGUUCCCUUUUGGUGUGAAGGCAUCAGAAGACCAUCAGCUCUAGAAAUAAAACUGAAAAAAAAAAAAAAAAGAAAAAAGAAAAAAAAAAACAACUCUGGCAAGCGCAUCGUGCAACCUUGGAUAUGGGGAAAGGAG
This 272-nucleotide long non-coding RNA is filed under the name Homo sapiens (human). Its description in RNAcentral is "HSALNT0186342". The record is from RNAcentral. Lineage: Eukaryota; Metazoa; Chordata; Mammalia; Primates; Hominidae.